GGCACUGGGGUGGCCGUGCGGGGUCACUUUGAUGUGUGGAGGGAUUACCUGGGGCUGGCGGCCGCCGUGGCCACGCUGCUCCGCGAGCAUGGAGGACGUGGGGACAGCUCGGGGACAACGGGGGCUCUGGCUGCGAGGGGCAGGGCAGCUCCACGUGCUGGAGCAGCUCCACGUGUGGGGUCAGCUCCACGUGUGGGGUCAGCUCCACGUGCUGGGCCAGCUCCACGUGCUGGGCCAGCUCCGCGUGCUGGGCCAGCUCCGCGUGCUGGGCCAGCUCCGCGUGCUGAGCUAGCUCCAUCUGCUGGGCCAGCUCCACAUAUCAGGUCAGCUCCACCUAUGGGAGCAGCUCCAUGCACCGAACCAGCUCCAUGCUUGGAACCAGCUCCACAUGCCAGGCCAGCUCUACCUAUGGGAGCAGCUCCAUGCACCGAACCAGCUCCACAUGCUGAACCAGCUCCAUCAGUGGGACCAUCUCUGUGGAGCGAACCAUCUCCAUGUGCCAGACCAGCUCCACAUGUCGGGUCAGCUCCACCUGUGGAACCAGCUCCACGUAUGGGACCAUCUCCACACACCAAACCAACUCCACAUGUAGGACCAUCUCCAUUCACCAAACCAGCUCCACAUGCUGAACCAGCUCCACCAGUGGGACCAUCUCCACACACUGCUCCAGCUCCGUGCUCCAGGCCAGCUCCACAAGCCGGGCCAGCUCCACCAGUGGGACCAUCUCCAUUCACUGAACCAGCUCCAUGUAGACCAGCUCCACAAGCCGGGCCAGCUCCACCAGUGGGACCAUCUCCAUUCACGGAACUAGCUCCAUGUGCCAGACCAGCUCCACAUGUCGGGUCAGCUCCACCUAUGGGACCAGCUCCAUCUGUGGAACCAGCUCCACCAGUGGGACCAUCUCCAUUCACCGAACCACCUCUGUGCUCUGGCCCAGCUCCACAUGCCAGACCAGCUCCAUCAGUGGGACCACCUCCACUCCCUGACCGAGCUCCACCAGUGGGACCAUCUCCAUUCACUGAACCAGCUCCAUGUGCCAGACCAGCUCCAUCAGUGGGACCACCUCCACUACCCGACCGAGCUCCACCAGUGGGGCCAUCUCCACACACUGCCCCAUCUCCGUGCUCCAGGCCAGCUCCACAAGCCAGA
This 1149-nucleotide long non-coding RNA is filed under the name Junco hyemalis (dark-eyed junco). RNAcentral's name for it is "lncRNA (ENSJHYG00000001553.1)". The record is from RNAcentral. Lineage: Eukaryota; Metazoa; Chordata; Aves; Passeriformes; Passerellidae.